This 433-nucleotide ribosomal RNA is filed under the name uncultured bacterium. RNAcentral describes it as "partial 16S ribosomal RNA". It matches the Rfam family "Bacterial small subunit ribosomal RNA", at positions 29 to 507 of the family's 1533-position model. The record is from RNAcentral.
AGCGAACGCUGGCGGCAGGCCUAACACAUGCAAGUCGAACGGAUCCUUCGGGAUUAGUGGCGGACGGGUGAGUAACACGUGGGAACGUGCCCUUUGGUUCGGAACAACUCAGGGAAACUUGAGCUAAUACCGGAUGUGCCCUUCGGGGGAAAGAUUUAUCGCCAUUGGAGCGGCCCGCGUCUGAUUAGCUAGUUGGUGAGGUAACGGCCCACCAAGGCGACGAUCAGUAGCUGGUCUGAGAGGAUGAUAAGCCACACUGGGACUGAGACACGGCCCAGACUCCUACGGGGGGCAGCAGUGGGGAAUCUUGCGCAAUGGGCGAAAGCCUGACGCAGCCAUGCCGCGUGAAUGAUGAGGGUCUUAGGAUUGUAAAAUUCUUUCAGCGGGGACGAUAAUGACGGUACCCGCAGAAGAAGCUCCGGCUAACUUCGUG